UACGGAGGGGGCUAGCGUUGCUCGGAAUCACUGGGCGUAAAGGGUGCGUAGGCGGCGCGGUAAGUCGGGUGUGAAAUCUCGGAGCUUAACUCCGAAACUGCAUUCGAUACUGCCGUGCUUGAGGACUGGAGAGGAGACUGGAAUUUACGGUGUAGGGGUGAAAUGCGUAGAUAUCGUAAGGAAGACCAGUGGCGAAGGCGGGUCUCUGGACAGUUCCUGACGCUGAGGCACGAAGGUCAGGGGAGCAAACGGG
RNAcentral lists this ribosomal RNA (253 nucleotides) under uncultured bacterium. Its description in RNAcentral is "partial 16S ribosomal RNA". It matches the Rfam family "Bacterial small subunit ribosomal RNA", at positions 524 to 776 of the family's 1533-position model. The record is from RNAcentral.